AUGGAAGUAGCUCGACAACAACAUCCGACCAUGUCAAAAAUCAUUAGCUAGUUAGCCAACCAAAUAUAUAUUCACGUUACCAGCAUAUGAAAAAUAUUCUCAAUAACUUGCUAGCUAGCUGACUCACUUUACUAUGAGGUGAAAAUGCUUGUUCUUGUUGCAUACUAACGUUAAUUGUCAUAAUCAUGUCGCUAGGUGCGUCAAGUAUGUGUCCCACUCAGAAAAGGACACUCUCGUGUCUGCUCGCAGGGCGUGUUGGGAAGAGGCCAAAGCAGAAGAAUGUACAGGAGCUGCAGGAGGCAGCAGUCCAGCUGCUGAACAGACACCAGAACCUCUCAGAUCUGUUUCUGGAGGUGGGGAGUCCAAAUCCUUGCAAUUUAAUUUGCAAGGAGUACUCUGGACAGCAAAAAGGAGCCAGUCAAAGUCCCUCACCUACAAUUGGGGGUUCACUUCUGGUGAAUGAGUUGAGGAGGAAGGCUGGGGAGCUGGGGGUCCCGGUGGCAGCCCUGUCAGUGAAGAUGGUGGUAGAAAGACUGUUGGACCUGACCGGCCAUAUCAAAGGGGACCGAGAGCAAGUGUUGCUCAAUUCCACUCAAAGGGUUUGUGCUGGGAAUAAUGUCUGGAUAUGCAUCUAUGUCGAUGUUUGUUGUCCCCCACAAUUAAAUUGGCCGUCAUUGUAAAUAAGAAUUUGUUCUUAACUGACUUGCCUAG
Molecule: long non-coding RNA, 711 nt
Organism: Oncorhynchus tshawytscha (Chinook salmon)
Lineage: Eukaryota; Metazoa; Chordata; Actinopteri; Salmoniformes; Salmonidae
Source: Ensembl